GGGGGGGGGGGGGGGGGGGCCGGGGGGGGGGGGGGGGGGCGGGGGGGGGGGGCGUGCUCCUGGAUGCAGCGGCGGACGGGGGGGGCAUGCCUAGGAAUCUGCCUGGUAGUGGGGGAUAACGUCCGGAACCGGGCGCUACUACCGCCUCCGUCCUGAGUGAGAAAGUGGGGUAUCUUCGGACCUCACGCUAUCAGAUGCGCCUAGGUCGGAUUAACUAGUUGGUGUGGUAAAGGCCUACCACGGCGACGAUCCGUAACCGGUCUGAGAGGAUAAUCAGUCACACUGGAACUGAGACACGGUCCAGACUCCUAAGGGAGGCAGAAGUGGGGAAUAUUGGACAAUGGGCGAAAGCCUGAUCCAGCCAUGCCGCGUGUGUGAAGAAGGUCUUCGGAUUGUAAAGCACUGUAAGUUGGGAGGAAGGGCAGUAAGUUAAUACCUUGCUGUUUUGACGUGACCAACAGAAUAAGCACCGGCUAACUUCGUG
Molecule: ribosomal RNA, 484 nt
Filed under: uncultured bacterium
Lineage: Bacteria
Description: partial 16S ribosomal RNA
Rfam family: Bacterial small subunit ribosomal RNA
Source: RNAcentral